GGUUUGAUCUUGGCUCAGAUUGAACGCUGGCGGCAGGCCUAACACAUGCAAGUCGGGCGGUAGAGAGAAGCUUGCUUCUCUUGAGAGCGGCGGGACGGGUGAGUAAUGCCUAGGAAUCUGCCUGGUAGUGGGGGAUAACGCUCGGAAACGGACGCUAAUACCGCAUACGUCCUACGGGAGAAAGCAGGGGACCUUCGGGCCUUGCGCUAUCAGAUGAGCCUAGGUCGGAUUAGCUAGUUGGCGAGGUAAUGGCUCACCAAGGCGACGAUCCGUAACUGGUCUGAGAGGAUGAUCAGUCACACUGGAACUGAGACACGGUCCAGACUCCUACGGGAGGCAGCAGUGGGGAAUAUUGGACAAUGGGCGAAGGCCUGAUCCAGCCAUGCCGCGUGUGUGAAGAAGGUCUUCGGAUUGUAAAGCACUUUAAGUUGGGAGGAAGGGCAGUAAAUUAAUACUUUGUCUGUUUGACGUUACCGACAGAAUAAGCACGGCUAACUCUGUGCCAGCAGCCG
RNAcentral lists this ribosomal RNA (512 nucleotides) under uncultured bacterium. Its description in RNAcentral is "bacterial SSU rRNA". It matches the Rfam family "Bacterial small subunit ribosomal RNA", at positions 10 to 517 of the family's 1533-position model. The record is from RNAcentral.